Molecule: long non-coding RNA, 524 nt
Organism: Daphnia pulicaria
Lineage: Eukaryota; Metazoa; Arthropoda; Branchiopoda; Diplostraca; Daphniidae
Exons: 4
Source: RefSeq, a predicted model, not a curated record
CGGCCAUCAUAACCACACCAUAUGCAAGUUUUUCUGGUGCAGGUGUUAACCGUCAGCAACAAUCUCAGGAUCAUCGCUUGGAUGAAAAAAGCAUCCCAUUGCAUUGAAAUGCAAUCGAGUUACGGAUCUCUUUCUUUUUCCCCUUUCUUGAAAUGUCCUCGUGUACGCCCAUGUGAAUGUGGGUGUAUUCACGAGGGUGUUCACCUUUACCCUAUCCCGUCUGGUGUAAUUUAUCUCUUCAGCGGAUGGAUGGAGCAACUGUAGAUGCCUGGCUGUAUUUCCCAGACAUAAAAGAGCUGCUGUCGGCGUCACGACAUCCAUAAUUACAUCGGCACAAAAGACGGCGACGACCAGAUGGCGUGUGAACGGAGACGGCCCAUUUCAGAGACAAGGAAAGAUGGCAGUGGAUUCCAGCGAGAAGUCGCCCUAGUCUUUUUUCCGCUUUCUUAGCAGAGAGAAUUUGAAUGUUCAACUGUUUCACGCGCCCGUUUUUCACCUCCGAGAAUGAAUCAUUGAAAAGUGAA